GUGUCAUCCAGAUGGAACUUUCCUUCCCCCACCACCACAACAUCUACACUGUGUCAUCCAGAUGGAACUUUCCUUCCCCCACCACCACAACAUCUACACUGUGUCAUCCAGAUGGAACUUUCCUUCCACCACCACCACAACAUCUACACUGUGUCAUCCAGAUGGAACUUUCCUUCCACCACCACCACAACAUCUACACUGUGUCAUCCAGAUGGACCUUUCCUUCCCCCACCACCACAACAUCUACACUAUGUAAUCCAGAUGGAACUUUCCUUCCCCCACCACCACAACAUCUACACUGUGUAAUCCAGAUGGAACUUUCCUUCCCCCACCACCACAACAUCUACACUGUGUAAUCCAGAUGGACCUUUCCUUCCCACCACCACAACAUCUACACUAUGUAAUCCAGAUGGAACUUUCCUUCCCCCACCACCACAACAUCUACACUGUGUAAUCCAGAUGGAACUUUCCUUCCCCCACCACCACAACAUCUACACUAUGUAAUCCAGAUGGAACUUUCCUUCCAACCACCACAACAUCUACACUGUGUAAUCCAGAUGGACCUUUCCUUCCCCCACCACUACAACAUCUACACUGUGUCAUCCAGAUGGACCUUUCCUUCCCCCACCACCACAACAUCUACACUGUGUCAUCCAGAUGGAACUUUCCUUCCCACCACCACAACAUCUACACUGUGUCAUCCAGAUGGAGCUUUCCUUCCCC
Molecule: long non-coding RNA, 723 nt
Filed under: Salmo salar (Atlantic salmon)
Lineage: Eukaryota; Metazoa; Chordata; Actinopteri; Salmoniformes; Salmonidae
Description: lncRNA (ENSSSAG00000113479.1)
Source: RNAcentral